Scylla paramamosain (green mud crab) is the source of this 765-nucleotide long non-coding RNA. RefSeq lists it as uncharacterized. The transcript is spliced from 4 exons. The record is from RefSeq and is a predicted model, not a curated record. NCBI's taxonomy places the organism in Eukaryota, Metazoa, Arthropoda, Malacostraca, Decapoda, Portunidae.
AGCAGCCAGAGAUCGUCGGUCUACUACAAGGAAAGCGGCGGGCGAGAGCGGAUGAUCUGUGUUAGUGUGCGUGGCGUCGCGGUUCACAGUGAUCAGUGUGCGUUACUUCAUUACUCCUUCCCUACAGUCCUCAGCGUUGGAUUUGGUAAGUACCCGUAUCACAGGUCUCGUCGUGGGACAGACAGCGCUGGAGCACCCCUUCGAAAAUAGUAAAGUGAAGAUACUGUUUCCUAGGCGUUAGGGCGAUAGGAUGCGCGGCUAAUCGUCAUUGCGUUUCAGGUACAUAUUAAUGAAUACCCUCGAGUCUUUCCCAGAGUAGCAAUGCCCUUCUGUUGUCACGGUGACCAGACGGCAACUCGUGCCGGUGAAGAAAGACGGUGCUGGUGGUGGACGUGCUGCAUUCAUACGCGUUGUGUGGGAGAUGCAUUCACUCAUCUUAACCCGGUUGGUGCGUGUCCUGAAGAAAUUAUCGCGAAACUUAAAGCUCAAAAUUAGAUUGGAGUCACACAGGUGUAAAAGAAGAUAUUCGGGUGGAAGGCGGCAAAUCUCGCGGCAUUUGAAAAGUAACAUCAGCAGCGGUUGGUGACGGUUCAGCUUGAGAUGAGGUGCCGGCACGCUAGGGAGGCAACGCUGCUGGUGACGCUAGUGAAGCAGCCGGCGGGUGGUGAUAAAGGCUGUGCUGCACUUGCACAUUCAAUUAACUGAGUAAUGUUAAGUUUUCCCAUUGCCAUAAAUCAUAUAUUGUUGAAUAAAAGAUAAAACGAU